GGGCGACGGUUGUCCCGGUUUAAGCGUGUAGGUGUGUGUUCCAGGUAAAUCCGGUUCACUUUAACACUGAGGCGUGACGACGAGGCACUACGGUGCUGAAGCAACAAAUGCCCUGCUUCCAGGAAAAGCCUCUAAGCAUCAGGUAACAUCAAAUCGUACCCCAAACCGACACAGGUGGUCAGGUAGAGAAUACCAAGGCGCUUGAGAGAACUCGGGUGAAGGAACUAGGCAAAAUGGUGCCGUAACUUCGGGAGAAGGCACGCUGACACGUAGGUGAAGUGAUUUACUCAUGGAGCUGAAGUCAGUCGAAGAUACCAGCUGGCUGCAACUGUUUAUUAAAAACACAGCACUGUGCAAACACGAAAGUGGACGUAUACGGUGUGACGCCUGCCCGGUGCCGGAAGGUUAAUUGAUGGGGUCAGCGCAAG
Molecule: ribosomal RNA, 428 nt
Filed under: Salmonella enterica subsp. enterica serovar Virchow
Lineage: Bacteria; Pseudomonadati; Pseudomonadota; Gammaproteobacteria; Enterobacterales; Enterobacteriaceae
Description: partial 23S ribosomal RNA
Rfam family: Bacterial large subunit ribosomal RNA
Source: RNAcentral